GAUGAACGCUGGCGGCGUGCCUAAUACAUGCAAGUCGAGCGAAGCGGGGACGGGUGAGUAACACGUGGAUAACCUCAUAUAAGACUGGGAUAACUUCGGGAAACCGGAGCUAAACCGGAUAAAUAUAGAUGGAUCCCAGCUGCAUUAGCUAGUUGGUAAGGUAACGGCUUACCAAGGCAAAGAUGCAUAGCCGACCUGAGAGUGUGGUCGGCCAAACUGGUACUGAGACACGGUCCAGACUCCUGCGGGAGGCAGCAGUAGGGAAUCUUCCGAAAUGGGCGAAAGCCUGACGGAGCAACGCCGCGUGAGGGAUGAAGGUCUUCGGAUCGUAAAACUCUGUUAUGAGUGUAGCGGUACCUAAUCAGAAAGCCACGGCUAACUACGUGCCAGCAGCCGCGGUAAUUC
This 405-nucleotide ribosomal RNA is filed under the name uncultured bacterium. RNAcentral describes it as "partial 16S ribosomal RNA". It matches the Rfam family "Bacterial small subunit ribosomal RNA", at positions 28 to 526 of the family's 1533-position model. The record is from RNAcentral.